CGCGCUUGGUUGAAAAGCC
This 19-nucleotide small nuclear RNA is filed under the name Arabidopsis thaliana (thale cress). RNAcentral describes it as "snRNA_13778". Lineage: Eukaryota; Viridiplantae; Streptophyta; Magnoliopsida; Brassicales; Brassicaceae. The record is from RNAcentral.